CUCGAGCAAGUAGUUAGUCCAUGCCAUUCCUUUCCACAGCUUUCUUGAACUUCCCUUCCCGGACUGCGGCCUGUAGCUCUCUCGCCCUCUUGAUCUCCCGUCGAUCUCCACUGGUAGCAGCUGGGAGAGCAGGGAAGAGGAGGGUCAAGAAAGCUGUGGGAAGAAAUGGCAUAACCAGGACUUUGAUUGAAUUCAGUUCAU
This is a non-coding RNA of Brachypodium distachyon (stiff brome), 201 nucleotides long. Lineage: Eukaryota; Viridiplantae; Streptophyta; Magnoliopsida; Poales; Poaceae. The record is from RefSeq and is marked provisional.